AACGAACGCUGGCGGCAUGCUUAACACAUGCAAGUCGAACGCUUCUGUUGGCUUCGGCCUUCAGAAGAGUGGCGCACGGGUGAGUAGCGCGUGGGAACCUGCCCUGUGUGGGGGAUAACCGAGGGAAACUUCGGCUAAUACCGCAUACGCCGGCUGUCUUGAAAGAGAUGGCCGGGAAAGAUUUAUCGCCGAGGGGAUCGGCCCGCGUCUGAUUAGCUUGUGGUGAGGUAACGGCUCACCAAGGCGACGAUCAGUAGUCUGGUCU
Molecule: ribosomal RNA, 265 nt
Filed under: uncultured bacterium
Lineage: Bacteria
Description: partial 16S ribosomal RNA
Rfam family: Bacterial small subunit ribosomal RNA
Source: RNAcentral